RNAcentral lists this long non-coding RNA (609 nucleotides) under Arachis ipaensis. Its description in RNAcentral is "long non-coding RNA (AIPA_LNC000237)". Lineage: Eukaryota; Viridiplantae; Streptophyta; Magnoliopsida; Fabales; Fabaceae. The record is from RNAcentral.
AAAAAAUUUCCCAUCAGUCCAUGGUUUGAGUUCAGAGAAAACUUCAUUAUCUGAUUUGUAUUACUUGUGCUAGAAUUUAUGUUAAGAUUAAAAGGCUCUCGUUUUAUUUAUAUAUAAGAUCUUAUAAGCUUGUACACACACCACAUGUACAUACGUACAUGAUACAUGAUACAUGGUAACUACUGAUAGGUGAGUAGUGACUACAGAUAAUGGAAGGAAAUGAAAGGGCUCAACAACAGAAUAAUCAAGCUCCAAGCUCAAUGGGGGCCAUGGCCAUGAUGAGGAUGAGGCUGAUGUGGACCAGGUGGAGGUGACGCCCCUACUGCUGGAGGACCACCAGGAGGAGGAGGAGAUGGUUGUGCAUGUGGCGGUGGAGCAGGCCCAGGAUGUGGAGGUCCCGGCGGCCCUGGAGGGUGGUGGUGAGGGCCUGGGCCUCCUGGUCCUGACGGAGGAGGAUUGUGCAUUAUGCCUGCUUAGUAGUGCUUAAUCACUCCUUAAUUUACUUCUCAACUAUGUAUAUACACAAAUGUAUACAUGUAUAUAUAGGGGACAAAAGACCUAUGUAGAUCUAUAUGUUCAUCUACUAGUCAAUUGCUGUGUUACUUUUCG